This 309-nucleotide unclassified non-coding RNA is filed under the name Inocybe asterospora. RNAcentral's name for it is "partial internal transcribed spacer region". The stretch from base 1 to 46 matches the Rfam family "Eukaryotic small subunit ribosomal RNA", at positions 1786 to 1831 of the family's 1831-position model. Lineage: Eukaryota; Fungi; Basidiomycota; Agaricomycetes; Agaricales; Inocybaceae. The record is from RNAcentral.
AAGUCGUAACAAGGUUUCCGUAGGUGAACCUGCGGAAGGAUCAUUAUUGAAUAAAACUUGAACAGGCUGUUUUUUUUGCUGGCCCCUCCAGGGGGGCAUGUGCACGCUUGUCAUCUUUUGUUUCUCCAACUAUGUGCACACAUUGUAGGCAUCCCCUUUGUUUAUAAAGUCUUUUUGUGUGGAUUUGAUUGAGGAUUGCUAUGCUUUCCUUGUCAAAGGGGGCCUAUUUUUCAUUUACCUUGUUGUUGGUUUGAAUUGGAAAUGAUAAUAAAAUUUAUACAACUUUCAGCAACGGAUCUCUUGGCUCUC